This 510-nucleotide ribosomal RNA is filed under the name uncultured Nitrospira sp. RNAcentral describes it as "bacterial SSU rRNA". It matches the Rfam family "Bacterial small subunit ribosomal RNA", at positions 381 to 896 of the family's 1533-position model. Lineage: Bacteria; Pseudomonadati; Nitrospirota; Nitrospiria; Nitrospirales; Nitrospiraceae. The record is from RNAcentral.
GCCUGACGCAGCGACGCCGCGUGGGGGAUGAAGGUCUCGGAUUGUAAACCCCUUCGGGAGGGAAGAUGGGAUGGGGUAACCCAUUCGGACGGUACCUCCAGAAGCAGCCACGGCUAACUUCGUGCCAGCAGCCGCGGUAAUACGAAGGUGGCAAGCGUUGUUCGGAUUUACUGGGCGUACAGGGAGCGUAGGCGGUUGGAUAAGCCCUCCGUGAAAUCUCCAGGCUUAACCUGGAAAGUGCAGAGGGGACUGUUCAGCUAGAGGAUGGGAGAGGAGCGCGGAAUUCCCGGUGUAGCGGUGAAAUGCGUAGAGAUCGGGAGGAAGGCCGGUGGCGAAGGCGGCGCUCUGGAACAUUUCUGACGCUGAGGCUCGAAAGCGUGGGGAGCAAACAGGAUUAGAUACCCUGGUAGUCCACGCCUUAAACGAUGGAUACUAAGUGUCGGCGGGUUACCGCCGGUGCCGCAGCUAACGCAGUAAGUAUCCCGCCUGGGAAGUACGGCCGCAAGGUUG